RNAcentral lists this ribosomal RNA (423 nucleotides) under uncultured bacterium. RNAcentral's name for it is "bacterial SSU rRNA". It matches the Rfam family "Bacterial small subunit ribosomal RNA", at positions 355 to 776 of the family's 1533-position model. The record is from RNAcentral.
UAGGGAAUAUUGGGCAAUGGUCGAGAGACUGACCCAGCCAUGCCGCGUGAAGGAAGAAGGCUUUCUGAGUUGUAAACUUCUUUUAUCUGGGAAUAAACGAUCCUUGCGAGGAGCAUUGAAGGUACCAGAUGAAUAAGCACCGGCUAACUCCGUGCCAGCAGCCGCGGUAAUACGGAGGGUGCAAGCGUUGUCCGGAUUUAUUGGGUUUAAAGGGUGCGUAGGUGGCUUAUUAAGUCAGUGUUUAAAGUCUGCAGCUCAACUGUAGGAAUGGCAUUGAUACUGAUGAGCUUGAGUAAAGUUGAGGUAGACAGAAUUGAUGGUGUAGCGGUGAAAUGCAUAGAUAUCAUCAAGAAUACCGAUUGCGAAGGCAGUUUACUAAGCUUUAACUGACACUGAGGCACGAAAGUGUGGGGAUCAAACAGG